RNAcentral lists this ribosomal RNA (468 nucleotides) under uncultured bacterium. RNAcentral describes it as "partial 16S ribosomal RNA". It matches the Rfam family "Bacterial small subunit ribosomal RNA", at positions 28 to 507 of the family's 1533-position model. The record is from RNAcentral.
GACGAACGCUGGCGGCGUGCUUAACACAUGCAAGUCGAACGGAAAGGCCCUGCUUUUGUGGGGUGCUCGAGUGGCGAACGGGUGGGUAACACGUGAGUAACCUGCCCUUGACUUUGGGAUAACUUCAGGAAACUGGGGCUAAUACCGGAUAGGAGCUCCUGCUGCAUGGUGGGGGUUGGAAAGUUUCGGCGGUUGGGGAUGGACUCGCGGCUUAUCAGCUUGUUGGUGGGGUAGUGGCUUACCAAGGCUUUGACGGGUAGCCGGCCUGAGAGGGUGACCGGCCACAUUGGGACUGAGAUACGGCCCAGACUCCUACGGGAGACAGCAGUGGGGAAUAUUGCACAAUGGGCGGAAGCCUGAUGCAGCAACGCCGCGUGCGGGAUGACGGCCUUCGGGUUGUAAACCGCUUUCGCCUGUGACGAAGCGUGAGUGACGGUAAUGGGUAAAGAAGCACCGGCUAACUACGUG